GACGAACGCUGGCGGCGUGCCUAAUACAUGCAAGUAGAACGCUGAAGCGAGGCGCUUGCUCUUCUUGGAUGAGUUGCGCACGGGUGAGUAACGCGUAGGUAACCUGCCUGGUAGCGGGGGAUAACUAUGGGAAACGAUAGCUAAUACCGCAUAAAAUGCAUUAUCGCGUGAUGAUCCAUUGAAAGGUGCAAGUGCGUCACUAACAGCUGGACCUGCGUUGUAUUAGCUAGUUGGUGGGGUAACGGCUCACCAAGGCGACGAUACAUAGCCGCCGUGAGAGGGCGAGCAGCCGCCCUGGGACUGAGACCCGGCCCAGAGUGCCACGGGAGGCAGCAGGAGUGAUACGUCGGCAAGAGACGGAAGUCUGACCGCGCAACGCGGCGGGAGGGAAGAAGGACGUCGGAUCGGAAAGCUCUGUUGUAAGAUAAGAACGAGUUUGAGCGUGGAAAGUACCCACUGUGACGGUAUCUGAUCAGAAAGCGACGGCUAACUACGUG
RNAcentral lists this ribosomal RNA (497 nucleotides) under uncultured bacterium. RNAcentral describes it as "partial 16S ribosomal RNA". It matches the Rfam family "Bacterial small subunit ribosomal RNA", at positions 28 to 507 of the family's 1533-position model. The record is from RNAcentral.